CAAAAGCUACGAAUCUGACUCAUGUGCGCUUGCUUGACUAAAGCCACAGCCAACCAAAAUCUCAAUCGAAAAUCGCUGCGAAUGCGAAUACACAAGCAAAGCGAUGAGUGCUUACAAAAUAAAAGCCGGUGCUUCCAAUACUCCCAGUCGCUUAGCAGUUGAGAUUCCAGACUCCAAGCUGUUCAUGCGGGCAAUAUUCAGCUUUCGCUUCAGCUUUCCGCCCACGGAUUCCCAGACGGCAUAGAGUCGCUGACAGACGGUACACUCGGCCGAAGAG
Long non-coding RNA from Drosophila sechellia, 277 nucleotides. RefSeq lists it as uncharacterized. The transcript is spliced from 2 exons. Lineage: Eukaryota; Metazoa; Arthropoda; Insecta; Diptera; Drosophilidae. The record is from RefSeq and is a predicted model, not a curated record.